This 406-nucleotide ribosomal RNA is filed under the name uncultured bacterium. Its description in RNAcentral is "partial 16S ribosomal RNA". It matches the Rfam family "Bacterial small subunit ribosomal RNA", at positions 30 to 526 of the family's 1533-position model. The record is from RNAcentral.
AUUGAACGCUGGCGGCAGGCCUAACACAUGCAAGUCGAGCGAGCGGCGGACGUGUGAGCAAUGUCUGGGCAACUGCCUGAUGGAGGGGGAUAACUACCGGAAACUGUAGCUAAUACCGCAUACCAUCAGAUGUGCCCAGAUGGGUUUAUCUUGUGGGGGGGGUAAUGGCUCACCUAGGCGACGACCUCUAGCUGGUCUGAGAGGAUGACCAGCCAAACUGGAACUGAGACACGGUCCAGACUCCUACGGGAGGCAGCAGUGGGGAAUAUUGCACAAUGGGCGCAAGCCUGAUGCAGCCAUGACGCGUGUAUGAAGAAGGCCUUCGGGUUGUAAAGUACUUUCAGCGGGGAGGCGUUACCAGCAGAAGAAGCACCGGCUAACUCCGUGCCAGCAGCCGCGGUAAUAC